AGGAACAAACCAGGAUUAUGGCCUUUAUAUCGAGUCCCAGACAAAGCAUACAUGAAUAUAACAUAGUAUUUUGAUGAGUGUUUCAAUUUCAUCGAUGGAGCUAAAAGAAUGCAUGGCGGUGCGAUGGUUCAUUGUUUUGCUGGAAUAUCUAGAAGAGUUUGGGGUUAUGCACCAGUUUUCAUGUUUUCUAUCAUUGUGGUGAGAGACUCAUAGGAUCAACAAUGAAGUUGGUAACAAAUUGGAAAUCGUUCAGAACCUUGUACAGUGGUGAACAUCAGCAUUGUAGAUUUUGGCUUUACUAACAUUUUAUCUAGAUUGUGUUUUUGUCAUAAAGAACUUUUUCCAGGUUUUUAGUUGUAAUAACUUUUACUUAUGGCUCCAAUUUUGAGGCGCAAAAGGAAUGCCUGAUUAAACUACGAUGUUAUAUUGUCUGAAUUCUUGUCAUUGAUAUUCCUAGA
Long non-coding RNA from Camellia sinensis, 458 nucleotides. RefSeq lists it as uncharacterized. The record is from RefSeq and is a predicted model, not a curated record. Lineage: Eukaryota; Viridiplantae; Streptophyta; Magnoliopsida; Ericales; Theaceae.